Molecule: non-coding RNA, 221 nt
Organism: Delphinapterus leucas (beluga whale)
Lineage: Eukaryota; Metazoa; Chordata; Mammalia; Artiodactyla; Monodontidae
Source: RefSeq, a predicted model, not a curated record
AUGGCAGACAAGCCCGACAUGGCGGAAAUUGCCGGCUUCAAUAAGGCCAAGCUAAAGACGAUGGAGACGCAGGAGAAGAACACCCUGCCAACCAAAGAGACCAUUGAGCAGGAGAAGCAAGCGAAGUGAAAUUUCCUAAGAACCUGGAGGAUUCUCCACCCCCAUCAUCUUGGAGACCUUAGUCAUGAUGUGGAGGAAGAGCCACCUGCAAGAUGGACACG